GAUGAAGAACGUAGCAAAAUGCGAUAAGUGACAUGAAUUGCAGAAUCCUGUGAAUCGUCGAAAUUUCGAACGCACUGCGCCCGGGAGAAAUCCCGGGCACGUCUGACCGAGUGACGCUAUUAUCACUUGCACAUCUCCAACAUACGUAUAAAAGCGGUUGGGGAAGCAGACUUUGUGGGCUUUGUGUAUUUGCACCAAAUAACACUCCCAUUUAAGCUAUUGCUGUGUAAAUCCCAUCACGUUGUGGGCAAGUAAAGGUCUCCGCCGCGAAUAUUACGUCUUUUGUGUUCCUGGCGGGUUCAUAUGUGUUAAUCUUGCCUUCCUGUGGUGGGUCUUUUGGCAGCCUUUUUUACAAGUGCAGAGACAACUGCUUUACAAAACACCAUAACCGUCCUCGGAUCAGGCGGGAUUACCCGCUGAACUUAAGCAUAUCAAUAAGCGGAGGA
RNAcentral lists this unclassified non-coding RNA (446 nucleotides) under soil metagenome. RNAcentral's name for it is "partial contains internal transcribed spacer 2 and large subunit ribosomal RNA". The stretch from base 1 to 116 matches the Rfam family "5.8S ribosomal RNA", at positions 35 to 154 of the family's 154-position model. The record is from RNAcentral.